GACGAACGCUGGCGGCGUGCUUAACACAUGCAAGUCGAACGGAAGGGCCCUGCUUUUGUGGGGUGCUCGAUUGGCGAACACGUGAGUAACACGUGAGUAACCUGCCCUUGUCUUUGGGAUAACUUCAGGAAACAGGGGCGAAUACCGCAUAGGAUCUCCUGCUGCAUGGUGUGGGUUGGAGAGAUUCGGCGGUUGUGGAUGGACUCGCGGGGUAUCAGCUUGUUGGGGGGGUCGUGGAUUACAAAGGCUUUGACGGGAACCGGGCCUGAGCGGGUGACCGGCCACACUGGGACUGAGGUAAGGCAGCGGCUGCUAAGGGAGGGAGCAGUGCGGAAGAUUGCACGAUGGGCGGCAGGCUAAUGAAGCAACGCCGCGUGCGGGAUAACGGUCUUCGGGGUGUAAACCGUUUUCGCCUGUGACGAAGCGUGAGUGAAGGUAAUGGGUAAAGAAGCACCGGGUAACUACGUG
RNAcentral lists this ribosomal RNA (468 nucleotides) under uncultured bacterium. RNAcentral describes it as "partial 16S ribosomal RNA". It matches the Rfam family "Bacterial small subunit ribosomal RNA", at positions 28 to 507 of the family's 1533-position model. The record is from RNAcentral.